RNAcentral lists this ribosomal RNA (360 nucleotides) under uncultured marine bacterium. RNAcentral's name for it is "bacterial SSU rRNA". It matches the Rfam family "Bacterial small subunit ribosomal RNA", at positions 1016 to 1382 of the family's 1533-position model. The record is from RNAcentral.
UGCUUCGGGAACGCAAUCACAGGUGCUGCAUGGCUGUCGUCAGCUCGUGUCGUAGAGUGUUGGGUUAAGUCCCGCAACAGCGCAACCCUGUCCUUAGUUGCCAUAUUUAGUUGGCACUCUAAGGAGACUGCCGGUGACAAACGGAGGAAGGUGGGACGACGUCAAGUCAUCAUGGCCCUUAUGACCAGGGCUACACACGUGCUACAAUGGCCGGUACAAAGGGCUGCUAAGCUCGCGAGAGUGUGCGAAUCCCAGAAAACGUUUCGUAGUCCGGAUCGAAGUCUGCAACUCGACUUCGUGAAGUCGGAAUCGCUAGUAAUCGCGAAUCAGCAUGUCGCGGUGAAUACGUUCCCGGGCCUU